Molecule: ribosomal RNA, 483 nt
Filed under: uncultured bacterium
Lineage: Bacteria
Description: partial 16S ribosomal RNA
Rfam family: Bacterial small subunit ribosomal RNA
Source: RNAcentral
AUUGAACGCUGGCGGCAGGCCUAACACAUGCAAGUCGAGCGGAUGAAGGGAGCUUGCUCCUGGAUUCAGCGGCGGACGGGUGAGUAAUGCCUAGGAAUCUGCCUGGUAGUGGGGGAUAACGUCCGGAAACGGGCGCUAAUACCGCAUACGUCCUGAGGGAGAAAGUGGGGGAUCUUCGGACCUCACGCUAUCAGAUGAGCCUAGGUCGGAUUAGCUAGUUGGUGGGGUAAAGGCUACCAAGGCGACGAUCCGUAACUGGUCUGAGAGGAUGAUCAGUCACACUGGAACUGAGACACGGUCCAGACUCCUACGGGAGGCAGCAGUGGGGAAUAUUGGACAAUGGGCGAAAGCCUGAUCCAGCCAUGCCGCGUGUGUGAAGAAGGUCUUCGGAUUGUAAAGCACUUUAAGUUGGGAGGAAGGGCAGUAAGUUAAUACCUUGCUGUUUUGACGUUACCAACAGAAUAAGCACCGGCUAACUUCGUG